RNAcentral lists this ribosomal RNA (676 nucleotides) under Arthrobacter sp. Its description in RNAcentral is "bacterial SSU rRNA". It matches the Rfam family "Bacterial small subunit ribosomal RNA", at positions 38 to 723 of the family's 1533-position model. The record is from RNAcentral. Lineage: Bacteria; Bacillati; Actinomycetota; Actinomycetes; Micrococcales; Micrococcaceae.
GGCGGCGUGCUUAACACAUGCAAGUCGAACGAUGACUUUUGUGCUUGCACAAAAUGAUUAGUGGCGAACGGGUGAGUAACACGUGAGUAACCUGCCCUUAACUUCGGGAUAAGCCUGGGAAACUGGGUCUAAUACCGGAUACGACGGUCCACCGCAUGGUGGUCCGUGGAAAGCUUGAUGCGGUUUUGGAUGGACUCGCGGCCUAUCAGCUAGUUGGUUGGGGUAAUGGCCCACCAAGGCGACGACGGGUAGCCGGCCUGAGAGGGUGACCGGCCACACUGGGACUGAGACACGGCCCAGACUCCUACGGGAGGCAGCAGUGGGGAAUAUUGCACAAUGGGCGAAAGCCUGAUGCAGCGACGCCGCGUGAGGGACGAAGGCCUUCGGGUUGUAAACCUCUUUCAGCAGGGAAGAAGCGAAAGUGACGGUACCUGCAGAAGAAGCGCCGGCUAACUACGUGCCAGCAGCCGCGGUAAUACGUAGGGCGCAAGCGUUAUCCGGAAUUAUUGGGCGUAAAGAGCUCGUAGGCGGUUUGUCGCGUCUGCUGUGAAAGCCCGGGGCUCAACCCCGGGUCUGCAGUGGGUACGGGCAGACUAGAGUGCAGUAGGGGAGACUGGAAUUCCUGGUGUAGCGGUGAAAUGCGCAGAUAUCAGGAGGAACACCGAUGGCGAAGGCA